Epinephelus moara (kelp grouper) is the source of this 454-nucleotide long non-coding RNA. RefSeq lists it as uncharacterized. The transcript has 3 exons. Lineage: Eukaryota; Metazoa; Chordata; Actinopteri; Perciformes; Serranidae. The record is from RefSeq and is a predicted model, not a curated record.
AACACGUCUGAGUUUGUCAUCCUGUUGUUUGGUAAUGAGCCCCACCAGCUCCCGUUUCCGCUCGUCCAAGAUAGCAACCAGGUUGUCAAAUCUGUCGGCCAGAUGCUCUCUCUGUCGCCGACCGUUCUCCUGAGCCUGGCAGAUAUCUUCCAUCUGAGAGAUGACUGCCUGGACGUGGUCGUUACUAGCAACCAGGAUCGCAAUGCUGUCACUCAGAUGAGUGAAUCAGAAGACAGAGUGAGAGAUGGAGAGGCCGGCACUGAAAUGUCAACAAAGCCAACUGCUCAAUAACAAGCCGGACGCUGCUGCUGCUGCCAUCUGCAUGACAAAACUGCUGCACUUUGUCUUUGUGUGACUUUGUGUCGCCACAAAUAAUGUAAAUUAUUUGUUUUCAUGAGAUAUAUUUAAUGUAGAAGUUAAUAAGUCUGGUAUCAUCACAACUGACCUGAUGAUG